UACCAGCACCCCGAGUGGUCGGGACGAUUAUUGGGCCUAAAGCAUCCGUAGCCGGUCUUGCAAGUCUUCCGUUAAAUCCACCUGCUUAACAGAUGUGCCGCGGAGGAUACUAUAAGACUAGGAGGCAGGAGAGGCAAGCGGUACUCAGUGGGUAGGGGUAAAAUCCGUUGAUCCAUUGAAGACCACCAGUGGCGAAGGCGGCUUGCCAGAAUGCGCUCGACGGUGAGGGAUGAAAGCUGGGGGAGCAAACAGG
This 253-nucleotide ribosomal RNA is filed under the name uncultured bacterium. RNAcentral's name for it is "partial 16S ribosomal RNA". It matches the Rfam family "Archaeal small subunit ribosomal RNA", at positions 474 to 727 of the family's 1478-position model. The record is from RNAcentral.